Molecule: transfer RNA, 72 nt
Filed under: Ictidomys tridecemlineatus (thirteen-lined ground squirrel)
Lineage: Eukaryota; Metazoa; Chordata; Mammalia; Rodentia; Sciuridae
Description: Spermophilus tridecemlineatus (thirteen-lined ground squirrel) tRNA
Rfam family: tRNA
About the family: Transfer RNA (tRNA) molecules are approximately 80 nucleotides in length.
Source: Rfam by way of RNAcentral
GGGGUUGUGGCUCAGCGGCAGAGCACUCCCCUGGCAAGUGCCAGGCCCUGGGUUCGAUCCCCAGCAGCACAU